Molecule: ribosomal RNA, 635 nt
Filed under: uncultured Symbiodinium
Lineage: Eukaryota; Dinophyceae; Suessiales; Symbiodiniaceae
Description: partial Bacterial large subunit ribosomal RNA
Rfam family: Bacterial large subunit ribosomal RNA
Source: RNAcentral
AGUGAACCAGUACCGUGAGGGAAAGGUGAAAAGAACGCCGAGAAGGCGAGUGAAAUAGUACCUGAAACCGUGUGCUUACAAGCGGUCGGAGCCUCUCUUUGAGGGGUGACGGCGUGCCUUUUGUAUAAUGAGCCUACGAGUUGCUCCUGUUGUGCGAGGUUAAGCCCCUAAGGGGUGGAGCCGCAGCGAAAGCGAGUCUGAAUAGGGCGUGCAGUACAGCGGGGCAGACGCGAAACCAAGUGAGCUAUCCAUGGUCAGGGUGAAGUGGGGGUAAAACCCCAUGGAGGCCCGAACCGCCAGACGUUGAAAAGUCUUCGGAUGAACUGUGGAUAGGGGUGAAAGGCCAAUCAAACUUGGAAAUAGCUCGUACUCCCUGAAAUAUAUUUAGGUAUAGCGUCUGGUUUUGUCUCUCCGGAGGUAGAGCACUGAUUAGGCUAGGGCCCUUCACCGGGUACCAACCCUAGACAAACUCCGAAUACCGGAAGAGAGCCACCAGGCAGUCAGUGGCGGGGUGAUAACGUCCCGUCGCGAGAGGGAAACAACCCAGACCACCAGCUAAGGCCCCCAAAUGUGUGUUAAGUUGAACAAAGAAAGUUGGGUUGCCCAGACAACUAGGAGGUUGGCUUAGAAGCAGC